Molecule: non-coding RNA, 7319 nt
Organism: Globicephala melas (long-finned pilot whale)
Lineage: Eukaryota; Metazoa; Chordata; Mammalia; Artiodactyla; Delphinidae
Source: RefSeq, a predicted model, not a curated record
GACGCCAUUUUCGGCGGCGGGAGCAGCGGAGCCGGAGCUGGCUGGGCGGCGGCUGCGAGGAGGAGCCGCGGGACACAGCGCGCGUGGGCGGCCGAGGAUGCUGCGGGGCGGCCGCGCCGGCGCCCCUCGCUUGUGACCGCGGCGCCGCACCUGAGGCGGCGAGGCGACAGCCCCGGCGGUCCCGCUCGGCGCACGCGCCCGCGGCCUCCCGGUGCUGACAGCGCGAGCGCGCGGCCCCGUGGGAGCAGCACGAAUGUAUGACAACAUGUCCACAAUGGUGUACAUAAAGGAAGACAAGUUGGAGAAGCUUACACAGGAUGAAAUUAUUUCUAAGACAAAGCAAGUAAUUCAGGGCCUGGAGGCUCUGAAGAAUGAGCACAAUUCCAUUUUACAAAGUUUACUGGAGACACUGAAGUGUUUGAAGAAAGAUGACGAAAGUAAUCUGGUGGAAGAGAAAUCAAACAUGAUCCGAAAGUCACUGGAAAUGUUGGAGCUUGGCCUGAGCGAGGCACAGGUUAUGAUGGCUCUGUCAAAUCACCUGAAUGCCGUCGAGUCGGAGAAGCAGAAGCUGCGGGCACAGGUUCGUCGUCUGUGCCAGGAGAAUCAGUGGCUGCGGGAUGAAUUGGCCAACACGCAGCAGAAAUUGCAGAAGAGUGAGCAGUCUGUGGCUCAACUGGAGGAAGAAAAGAAGCAUCUGGAAUUCAUGAAUCAGCUAAAAAAAUACGAUGAUGACAUUUCUCCAUCAGAGGACAAAGACACUGAUUCCACCAAAGAACCUCUGGAUGACCUCUUCCCAAAUGACGACGACGACCCUGGUCAAGGAAUGCAGCAGCAGCAGAGCAGUGCAGCGGCGGCCGCCCAGCAGGGUGGCUACGAGAUCCCCGCGCGGCUGCGCACCCUGCACAACCUGGUCAUCCAGUACGCCUCGCAGGGGCGCUACGAGGUCGCCGUGCCCCUCUGCAAGCAGGCCCUGGAGGACCUGGAGAAGACCUCUGGCCAUGACCACCCGGACGUGGCCACCAUGCUGAACAUCUUGGCCUUGGUGUACAGAGACCAGAAUAAAUACAAAGAUGCAGCUAAUCUACUGAAUGAUGCCUUGGCCAUCCGUGAAAAAACUUUGGGCAAAGAUCAUCCUGCGGUGGCAGCAACUCUGAAUAACCUCGCAGUGCUUUACGGCAAAAGAGGAAAGUACAAAGAAGCUGAGCCGCUGUGUAAAAGAGCUCUGGAGAUCAGAGAAAAGGUUUUGGGAAAGGAUCACCCCGAUGUUGCCAAGCAGUUAAAUAACUUGGCCUUACUGUGCCAGAACCAGGGCAAGUACGAAGAAGUAGAAUAUUAUUAUCAAAGAGCCCUUGAGAUCUACCAAACCAAACUGGGGCCUGAUGACCCCAACGUGGCCAAAACGAAAAAUAACCUGGCGUCCUGCUAUCUGAAGCAAGGAAAAUUCAAGCAAGCAGAAACGCUGUACAAAGAGAUUCUCACUCGCGCACAUGAAAGGGAGUUUGGUUCUGUAGAUGAUGAAAAUAAACCCAUUUGGAUGCAUGCUGAGGAAAGAGAAGAAUGCAAAGGAAAGCAAAAGGAUGGGACUUCUUUUGGAGAGUAUGGUGGCUGGUACAAAGCCUGCAAAGUUGACAGUCCAACUGUUACAACUACUUUAAAAAACCUUGGGGCACUUUACAGACGUCAAGGCAAAUUUGAAGCUGCAGAAACAUUGGAAGAAGCAGCCAUGAGGUCACGUAAACAGGGUCUUGACAAUGCUCACAAACAGAGAGUAGCUGAAGUGCUGAAUGACCCUGAGAACAUGGAGAAGCGGAGAAGCCGCGAGAGCCUCAGCGUGGAUGUGGUCAAGUACGAGAGCGGCCCUGACGGAGGGGAGGAAGUGAGUAUGAGCGUAGAGUGGAACGGGGAUGGCACUGGAUCUUUAAAACGCAGUGGUUCCUUUAGCAAACUCCGGGCUUCAAUUAGACGCAGCAGUGAGAAGCUGGUUAGGAAGCUGAAGGGAGGAGGUUCACGAGACAGUGAGCCAAAGGACCCUGGCAUGAAGCGUGCCAGUUCUCUGACUGUCCUUAACGUGGGUGGCACGGCGGCCGCAGACCAUUUCCAAGUAAGGAGCCCUGCCCCACUUACACGCUUUACAUGUUGGCUGGACCUUCCUCACCACUGCUGCCCUUUGAGCAGAGCCUGUGGGGACUGCCCCACUUACACCCUUUACAUGUUGGCUGGCCUUUCCCCACCGCUGCUACCCUUUCAGCAGAGCCUGUGGGCAUUUUAGUGUUCCUGAUUCAGGACACAUAGACACCAUAAAUGACACUUUCAUAGUCGGCAUGAACUUAACCAUCUGAAUUAUGGGAAUGUUGUGAACAUUCUCAGUGUACGAAUUAAUGAUCUUUACAAAUACGUUGAUUGACAAUUAAAAAUUAAAUAUUCUGAUGAAGUAAUAUCAAAACUUGGCCAGUUGUUAAUUUGUAUUAUUUGUAUGAUUUUAGCUUCUAGUAGUUUAUAACUAAUAUAAUGUCUAGCUAAGCUGUUCAGUGUUUUAAAACUAUUCAGAACUUCACUAAGUACGGUCACUUUGACAAAUAGUCUUUAGCACUUUGUCACCUGUCCAAGUCUCGCACAGACCGGUCACCUUUGCACUUCAAACUGUUGGCAUCCUGUUCUCCAUUACAAAUGGCCUUUUUAUUUUCCAUGUGUGACUGUUGGGUGCGCCCAGGCCUCUGGCCCCUUCUGUGGCCUGGCUGCUGUCCACCAGGACCAGGUGUCCUGGUCCCCACACCUGUUGGUGCAGCAGCUCUCCCAGUCAACUCAGUCCCACCGGUAAACUAUUGGACGCACAGGGACGGUGACGGGCCGGCAGGAGUGCUGGCCUUCCCCCUCACCCCCAGCACGCUGCGGGGGGGCGGCUGUUCCCAGGAUGCUGUCAUCGGGCCUCUAGUUUAAAAGCUGCAGGGUGCUGGGAGGAUGCACUCCUGACGAUGACGAUAGAAGAAACUACUUUUGUUUUUAAAAGGUCUGGAGCUAACAGUCCUUUUGCUCCCCUUUCUUGUGUUUUGCACACACACAUCUGAGCAUCAGGACUCUCAUGUGUUGAUGUGAGUUGUGCAGCUAUUGUUAGUGCCGAGACCACUGGAAGCUGGCGUCAUGUGAGGUACUGGUUAAGAAUAAUUUUUCCAUUUGUUUUUUCACGCAGGAACGAAAUAAUUGUUUGGCAGACUCCAGAGCUCUCAGUGCCAGCCACGCCGACCUGGCCCCCACGGGUCGAGGCAGAGCUAGAUUAACCCCCAAGGCUAAUGAGCGCUGAGACCCUCAAAGCUUGGCCAGGCCCCUCCCCCAUGCAGGGCGGCCCUGGGGUCGCCUCCUUUGCUGGAUGGUGACCUCCACCACCUGCUGGAGGUUUGCCCCGAAUUCUGUUAGGCGGUCUGCAGCCCUAGUGCCCGAGAGCUGCCAAAGCCCGGCGGCGGGACCCGGCCAGGUAUGGAGCUGGCUCAGCGCACUCGGGGUCGGCCGCUGCUCAUGGACACCAGCCCCAGCACCGAAACCUGCUUGCAAUUGUAAUACUGUGUUAAGGCUGUUCAUUAAGACUGGAACCUUAAACUACAUCCUUUGAGACUAGGAAUCCAGUGACCUGUGGCAGCGAUGCUGGGAUUAGGGAGCGGGGGAGAUGGGGUAGCUGCGGGGAGGCCUGCACCCCCUCCUGGUCUGCAUCUCAGCCCCUUUGGAGCCCUCUUCCCUCCUCCAGGCCUCUGUACACUAGCACACGGAGAUGCAUGUGUUCCUUUUAAAAAGCUUUUCUUUGUAGCGUUAAGUAACACAGGGUGGGUUCUGACAGAUGCAUCUUAUUUUAUUUUUUUAAUUUAUUUUUGGCUGCAUUGGGUCUUUGUUGCCGUGCACGGGCUUUUCUCUAGUUGUGGUGAGCGGGGGCUACUCUUUGUUGCGGUGUGCAGGCUUCUUAUUGCGGGGGCUUCUCUUGUUGCAGAGCACGGGCCCUAGGUGUGCAGGCUUCAGUAGUUGUGGCUCACAGGCUCAGUAGUUGUGGGUCACGGGCUCUAGAGCACAGGCUCAGUUCCCGGACCAAGGAUUGAACCCGUGCCCCCUGCACUGGCAGGCGGAUUCUUAACCACUGCACCACCAGGGAAGGCCUGACAAAUACAUUUUCAAACCAACCCUGAGACAUUACUGCUUAAGGGAAUCCGUGAGACUAGCUGGUAGGCUAAGAAGGUGUAAUUCCAGAUGAUGCCAGCUGUACAAGGGCACAUCCCCUGCUGAGGAGGUUUGAAAGGAUCUGGAAAGCUGUGAGCGUCCUUGUGAAAUGUUGUCAGGGUUAGUUUCUAGUUUACCUUAAUGUUAUCAUAUGGGUGGUGUCACUGAGCAAAGGCGCUUCCAGCCACCUUUUCCUCAACAACUGCACUGGGCUGGGGUGCUACGUGCUCCCUGGGCUCCCUGUGGGGACUAGGGGGUGCUCACUGUGGGGUGCCCUUGGACUGCACGUGUCCUUCACCCCCACUGUGGACCUCGGACUGAGGGCUAGAGGCAGCAGCGUCCUGGGGUUUCGGUACAGCAAGCCUAGACUUUAACUUAAGUUUUGUUUAAAAGUUUCUAUAAUUCAGUAGUGGAUCACCUCAGGGCACUGGUGCUUGUGUUGGUGAGAGCUGCUGUGCCCCCCCAGAGGCAGACACCCUGGCCCGGUGUUGGGGGCCCUCGAGGCUGACCGGUCUCCUGCAGCCUGUCUCCUCUGGCCACGCUCCUUUCCUCAGCUCCUGACUCCUUAGGUUUUGCAGUUUCCGAUGGAUCAGGAACUUUCAAAAUGCCCUCUAGAGGUGUUUAAAAAAAUAUGAUGGGUUGUAAGAAACCACUGGAAAAAAGAGCAGAGCUGUGUCCCCAUGUGGGCACUGUGGCCCUUUCAGGUUCACGUUUAGGUGCAGUGGGGGUGAUGUGUCUGUGUCACAUCAGAACCAGGAGGGGACCAAGCUGUCCUGGCUCCUCCUCCCACUACAUUGAAGUUUCCUCCCAGCCACAGAUCUGGUACAGGACAUCUGAAACCCACUCGGUUUCCCUUAGUGACAGUUGUCUCUGGAAAAACAAAGGGCAUUUAGAAAGAAUAAACAUGAGGCUAAGAACAGGAUUUAAUUUUAAGCUUCCAGUUGGUGAAAAGAGACCUUCUUUGCAGGGGCCUUAGUUGAACCUUGUCUGGCUUUGAGCCCUCUGGCCCUGGUUCCCCGAGGGUUAUGGUGGCCUUUGUAAGGCCACAUGGAGACAGCAUUCGGGGUAAGAGAGGCUCGAGGGCCUUCCUGAAACUGGGUUGUAAAAGCCUUCGUGUCUCAGAGGGGAUGCUACCUGGGACUCGGCAGUGUCUGAUUUUUGAACUUGUAUCAAAAUAGAGAGAAGCCAGGUUGUAACCUACUUGCAGUCUGGUAGUCAGGAUUUUAACAUUCUCGGAGAGAGCAGUGGGGGUGGUCCAGCCCUCCCUCUUCCUUUCCUGGUGAGGGGACCCUAGGGGGCCAGCACCCAUUUCUACACUGUGCUGUGUCUAUCAAGUUAGACUCCCCUGGUCAGAGGACGGACUGGCAGUGGAGGAGCUGAGGGUCUACGUGAGUGUCUGAGGGCUGAGGUCGUGGAGAGCUGGGCCUCCUGACCCUUGCGCCCCUCCCCAGGCGGAGCAGGCACUUCUGGUGCUGCAGGGAUUCAGGUAGUUAUUUUCUGAAACUUAAAAAAAGUCCCUAUUAUUUGUUUGGUCAGGAGGCUGCUAGGAGUAUCAUGUAAUUAGUUAUUGUCUUUACAGUAAAGUAUAAGUACUGCUAAGAAUUCAGAGUUUAGUUUGUAGCACUCAUUGUUAUAACUUCAUAGAAUGUUCUGGGGAAGGCAUGUUACAUCUGUACGAGGCCAACUUUUGGUAUGUUUAGACGUUGUACUGUGUAAUCAUGGGAUAUCUGGAAACUAAAGCAGCACUGGAUAGCACCAACCAAAGGUGAAGUUCAAGUGAGCUAAGCGAGCAUCGUCCUGCACGCGUCUCCUCCGUGCAAUCGGGCUGAUGCGUAAAGACCUGUGCGGCUUCCACUGAGUUCUCCACCAUGACAGGAGGACUCAGAUGGUGUAUACAGUGGUGUGCAGCUACCCCUCGGGGGUCACAGGCCUGUGAGGACCGUCCGAUUGUCCCUGGGGUGUGCUCUGGGGGAUGGGAUUGGCUGAGAGGCCAGGGAGGUAGGGUGGACACUGCUUUGGGGCUUGGUGUUCCUGAGACACAGAGAGAAAACCCCACUGCCAAGUUCUAUGGCCCCUGGUGGGUGAGCACCCCCAGGGCGGCCUGUCUGCCUGGUGGGCGGGUGCGGCUGCCCAGAGGCCGAAUGUGGGUGCGCUUGUGCUGGUCCGCACCUCUGCAGGGGGUUGGCCAUGAAACAUACCUUCUGUCUUGGAGCAGUAGUUCUCUUUUCUCACUGUUGGUGUAACUCGCCUAGGAAAUCAUUUGGAACUGUUUAUAUUUACUUACAAAAAUAAAGUGUUUUAUUUCCUGUUGUAAAGCCCCUGUACUUUUGUGGAAAGGCUCUCUUGUAAAACUCCAACCCUAAAAGAACCCUUUCCUGUUUAACGUUAGGCACCCAAUCUUUUUAGGGUCACAGACUACUUUGAAAACAUGAUGAAAGUUGUAACUGGAUCAUCCGGUCCUAGAAUGACGGGCACAAAGCGUGUGCCCCGUGACGGGUUUACCGCCCCGCCCCAGUGAGCCCGUGGGAGCUUGGGACCAGUGUCUAGCUCCUGGAGCUGUGGGAGUGUGGCCACGGCGCUGAAAGUGGAGUGACAGGGCUGCCCCAGGCUGUGAGGACAGACGUCACGUGUAUGAGUCCUGAGGACAGUGCCUGGCAAAGAGCAAGCGCUGGGUGUCUCCAGCAGAGCCCCUCUCUGUGGAAAAUGACAGCAGCAGCAGCGGCCUGGAGGACGCCAGCCUUAACUGAGGAUGCACCGGAAGGAUGAGGAUUGUGCUGCUUGUGUGCGUCCAGAGGGCCCUGUGACAGCCAGGGGACGGUCGCGAGGCUGGAGGGCCUGGAGCCGGAGCCUGUAGCACUGACCUCGUCUUCUCCUGUGUCCACGCCCUGAGCACCGUCACGCUAAUAACCGCGCUGCCCGCCGCCAGCGCGCACUCACCUGCAAAGCCACGGCCGCGCUGGGCCCCUAGGGGACGGCCACCUGCCGCCGGUCCACCCCGGGCCGCCCGUGCCCUGAACCAGCCCGGGCUCGCGUGCCACCGCUCAUCGUGUCACUUCCCCGUGCUAUGUGUGAUCAUGUAUUUUACGGUAAAAUUUUUUAAAAUUAAAAGUUUAUACAGCUCA